This 768-nucleotide ribosomal RNA is filed under the name uncultured bacterium. RNAcentral describes it as "bacterial SSU rRNA". It matches the Rfam family "Bacterial small subunit ribosomal RNA", at positions 28 to 776 of the family's 1533-position model. The record is from RNAcentral.
GACGAACGCUGGCGGCGUGCCUAAUACAUGCAAGUCGAGCGAAGUUUUUCUGGUGCUUGCACUAGAAAAACUUGGCGGCGAACGGGUGAGUAACACGUAAAGAACCUGCCUCAUAGACUGGGACAACUAUUGGAAACGAUAGCUAAUACCGGAUAACAGCAUUAACUGCAUGGUUGAUGUUUAAAAGUUGGUUUUGCUAACACUAUGAGAUGGCUUUGCGGUGCAUUAGCUAGUUGGUGGGGUAAAGGCCUACCAAGGCGACGAUGCAUAGCCGACCUGAGAGGGUGAUCGGCCACACUGGGACUGAGACACGGCCCAGACUCCUACGGGAGGCAGCAGUAGGGAAUCUUCCGCAAUGGGCGAAAGCCUGACGGAGCAACGCCGCGUGAGUGAAGAAGGAUUUCGGUUCGUAAAGCUCUGUUGUUAGGGAAGAAUGAUUGUGUAGUAACUAUACACAGUAGAGACGGUACCUAACCAGAAAGCCACGGCUAACUACGUGCCAGCAGCCGCGGUAAUACGUAGGUGGCAAGCGUUGUCCGGAAUUAUUGGGCGUAAAGCGCGCGCAGGUGGUUUAAUAAGUCUGAUGUGAAAGCCCACGGCUCAACCGUGGAGGGUCAUUGGAAACUGUUAAACUUGAGUGCAGGAGAGAAAAGUGGAAUUCCUAGUGUAGCGGUGAAAUGCGUAGAGAUUAGGAGGAACACCAGUGGCGAAGGCGGCUUUUUGGCCUGUAACUGACACUGAGGCGCGAAAGCGUGGGGAGCAAACAGG